CAGUAGCCGCGGGAAUACGAAGGGUGCAAGCGUUACUCGGAAUUACUGGGCGUAAAGCGUGCGUAGGUGGUGGUUUAAGUCCGUUGUGAAAGCCCUGGGCUCAACCUGGGAAUUGCAGUGGAUACUGGGUCACUAGAGUGUGGUAGAGGAUAGUGGUAUUUCCGGUGUAGCAGUGAAAUGCGUAGAGAUCGGAAGGAACAUCUGUGGCGAAGGCGACUAUCUGGGCCAACACUGACACUGAGGCACGAAAGCGUGGGGAGCAAACAGGAUUAGAUACCCCCGUAGUCCCUGUCUCUUAUAC
RNAcentral lists this ribosomal RNA (301 nucleotides) under uncultured bacterium. RNAcentral's name for it is "partial 16S ribosomal RNA". It matches the Rfam family "Bacterial small subunit ribosomal RNA", at positions 509 to 807 of the family's 1533-position model. The record is from RNAcentral.